RNAcentral lists this ribosomal RNA (338 nucleotides) under uncultured Prevotella sp. Its description in RNAcentral is "bacterial SSU rRNA". It matches the Rfam family "Bacterial small subunit ribosomal RNA", at positions 8 to 338 of the family's 1533-position model. Lineage: Bacteria; Pseudomonadati; Bacteroidota; Bacteroidia; Bacteroidales; Prevotellaceae. The record is from RNAcentral.
AGAGUUUGAUCAUGGCUCAGGAUGAACGCUAGCUACAGGCUUAACACAUGCAAGUCGAGGGGCAGCAUGAGAUUAGCUUGCUAAUCUUGAUGGCGACCGGCGCACGGGUGAGUAACGCGUAUCCAACCUUCCCCUUAGUAGGGCAUAGCCCGGCGAAAGUCGGAUUAAUACCCUAUGUUCUUCGUAGAGGACAUCUGAAAUGAAGCAAAGACUUGUCGCUAAGGGAUGGGGAUGCGUCUGAUUAGGUUGUUGGCGGGGUAACGGCCCACCAAGCCGACGAUCAGUAGGGGUUCUGAGAGGAAGGUCCCCCACAUUGGAACUGAGCCAGGAUCAAACUC